Molecule: ribosomal RNA, 1481 nt
Filed under: Bacillus sp. (in: firmicutes)
Lineage: Bacteria; Bacillati; Bacillota; Bacilli; Caryophanales; Bacillaceae
Also listed under: 1 other name
Description: bacterial SSU rRNA
Rfam family: Bacterial small subunit ribosomal RNA
Source: RNAcentral
UCAGGAUGAACGCUGGCGGCGUGCCUAAUACAUGCAAGUCGAGCGAACUUUUGGGAGCUUGCUCCCAAAAGUUAGCGGCGGACGGGUGAGUAACACGUGGGCAACCUGCCUAUAAGACUGGGAUAACUUCGGGAAACCGGAGCUAAUACCGGAUAACAUAUGAGACCACAUGGUCUCAUAUUAAAAGAUGGCUUUUAGCUAUCACUUAUAGAUGGGCCCGCGGCGCAUUAGCUAGUUGGUGAGGUAAUGGCUCACCAAGGCGACGAUGCGUAGCCGACCUGAGAGGGUGAUCGGCCACACUGGGACUGAGACACGGCCCAGACUCCUACGGGAGGCAGCAGUAGGGAAUCUUCCGCAAUGGACGAAAGUCUGACGGAGCAACGCCGCGUGAGCGAAGAAGGUCUUCGGAUCGUAAAGCUCUGUUGUUAGGGAAGAACAAGUACCGUUCAAAUAGGGCGGUACCUUGACGGUACCUAACCAGAAAGCCACGGCUAACUACGUGCCAGCAGCCGCGGUAAUACGUAGGUGGCAAGCGUUAUCCGGAAUUAUUGGGCGUAAAGCGCGCGCAGGCGGUCCUUUAAGUCUGAUGUGAAAGCCCACGGCUCAACCGUGGAGGGUCAUUGGAAACUGGGGGACUUGAGUGCAGAAGAGGAGAGCGGAAUUCCACGUGUAGCGGUGAAAUGCGUAGAGAUGUGGAGGAACACCAGUGGCGAAGGCGGCUCUCUGGUCUGUAACUGACGCUGAGGCGCGAAAGCGUGGGGAGCGAACAGGAUUAGAUACCCUGGUAGUCCACGCCGUAAACGAUGAGUGCUAAGUGUUAGAGGGUUUCCGCCCUUUAGUGCUGCAGCAAACGCAUUAAGCACUCCGCCUGGGGAGUACGGUCGCAAGACUGAAACUCAAAGGAAUUGACGGGGGCCCGCACAAGCGGUGGAGCAUGUGGUUUAAUUCGAAGCAACGCGAAGAACCUUACCAGGUCUUGACAUCCCGUGACAACUCUAGAGAUAGAGCUUUCCCCUUCGGGGGACACGGUGACAGGUGGUGCAUGGUUGUCGUCAGCUCGUGUCGUGAGAUGUUGGGUUAAGUCCCGCAACGAGCGCAACCCUUGAUCUUAGUUGCCAGCAUUAAGUUGGGCACUCUAAGGUGACUGCCGGUGACAAACCGGAGGAAGGUGGGGAUGACGUCAAAUCAUCAUGCCCCUUAUGACCUGGGCUACACACGUGCUACAAUGGAUGGUACAAAGGGCAGCGAAACCGCGAGGUUAAGCCAAUCCCAUAAAACCAUUCUCAGUUCGGAUUGCAGGCUGCAACUCGCCUGCAUGAAGCCGGAAUCGCUAGUAAUCGCGGAUCAGCAUGCCGCGGUGAAUACGUUCCCGGGCCUUGUACACACCGCCCGUCACACCACGAGAGUUUGUAACACCCGAAGUCGGUGGGGUAACCGUAAGGAGCCAGCCGCCUAAGGUGGGACAGAUGAUUGGGGUGAAG